Molecule: ribosomal RNA, 592 nt
Filed under: uncultured bacterium
Lineage: Bacteria
Description: bacterial SSU rRNA
Rfam family: Bacterial small subunit ribosomal RNA (bases 1-518)
Source: RNAcentral
CCUACGGGAGGCAGCAGUGGGGAAUCUUGCGCAAUGGGCGAAAGCCUGACGCAGCCAUGCCGCGUGAAUGAUGAAGGUCUUAGGAUUGUAAAAUUCUUUCACCGAGGACGAUAAUGACGGUACUCGGAGAAGAAGUCCCGGCUAACUUCGUGCCAGCAGCCGCGGUAAUACGAAGGGGGCUAGCGUUGCUCGGAAUUACUGGGCGUAAAGGGAGCGUAGGCGGAUAGUUUAGUCAGAGGUGAAAGCCCAGGGCUCAACCUUGGAAUUGCCUUUGAUACUGGCUAUCUUGAGUACGGAAGAGGUAUGUGGAACUCCGAGUGUAGAGGUGAAAUUCGUAGAUAUUCGGAAGAACACCAGUGGCGAAGGCGACAUACUGGUCCGUUACUGACGCUGAGGCUCGAAAGCGUGGGGAGCAAACAGGAUUAGAUACCCUGGUAGUCCACGCUGUAAACGAUGAGUGCUAGUUGUCGGCAUGCAUGCAUGUCGGUGACGCAGCUACGACAUUAAGACACUCCGCCGUCGGGAGGUACGGUCGCGAAGAAUUAAACUAACGAAAGAAGUAGACGGACCGACGGACGACGACGAGGAGAGG